AUGUGGAGAUACUAUGAUGCAAGCACAUGGCUUCCAGAUGACAUACAUGUUCUUCCCAACAACAAGCUAGCUGAUCUCAGGUAUCAGUCAGGUAUCAGCCCUUCUGAGCUAUUUUUGCAGUCUCUUAGUGUGCUCUUCCUAAUGGUGUAUUUUAACAGAAGCUUUGAACAGAACACUUGGCUUCCUAUUGGGGCUGACUUACUCUUUUGCUGUGAGCUACUGAGGUUAAAGAUGGAUCUGAAUCCUGUGGAAGUGGAGAGAUGCAUCCAGACUGAGGGUGUCUUUUCGGGAGGGUAGGUCUAGCAUGUGGACAGUACUGUCAGCUGGUGCUGCAGAGUUAUGCCACCUUUCUGCAUAAACCAACACAAAUCCACUUGGCAAAUAUACAGAAGAAAGAUAACUUUUGUCAGCUCCACUUAUGCUGUUUGUGUAUCUGAUACAACCAGACCAGCAGGGAAGCUAUUCAUAAAUGCUGUUUCCUCUCAGGGGCUUUGCAGAAAAAGCCUUGCUCACAAUUCAAAAAAUUUGGUGCUUCUUCUCCCAUCAAACUCUGGGUGUGUGAAACAAUAAGAAAUGUCAUAUCUAAUCACAUAUUCACAAAGUGUUGUUUGCAUACAUAAAGCCAUCUGUUCUGAUCAGCUUUUUCUGCCCAUACAUCAAUUCAGAGCAAGACAAGGUUAUGAUUAUCAUUAUUUAUAAUAUUAUCCCCAUUCUCUCUAGCAUGCUAACAUCCACUUGCUGUCAUCUGAUUUCCCACCAUGUAAAUUAGCUAGAGCAGCAGAAACUGUAGUUUGAGAAAGAGAUC
This 805-nucleotide long non-coding RNA is filed under the name Phasianus colchicus (ring-necked pheasant). RNAcentral's name for it is "lncRNA (ENSPCLG00000003306.1)". Lineage: Eukaryota; Metazoa; Chordata; Aves; Galliformes; Phasianidae. The record is from RNAcentral.